UAAAGGCCGCGUACCUAAUCGGAAACAGACAGGUGCCUUCAAAUCGGGGGCCGGGUUGAAGGUACCUGCCAAUCAGGGCAGCCCCAGGGCGGAGCCAGGCAAGAUCGCCCGCCCCUUCCCGUUCGUGGACCCGGCUGUCGUUCAUUUCUGGCCGUCCAAUGAUGUGACGAGUGGGCGGUACCCGCUCCUGGAAGCGUGUGAAACCGGGAGUAGCAGGCAGGCUUGGGACUAGCGCAUCUUUCCGCCUGCCUUGUGUCUUGGCCAGGCGGACAGGUCUCUCAGUUGCACGGUCUUUCUCCAAGUGCCUGUGACCCAUCUUUGAGACUCAGAGGAUGGAAGAAAAGGAAGGAAACAGAAGACAAUGCCCCAAGUCACUGACAUCACGCAUAGCUGCAUUGGUUGGGAAGCGGCAUGGAGGCAUGGAGUUUUUGUCCUUCCUCUGAAUGGUGACGUGAUUGUGGGACAGGAACUCUCCUCCGCACCUCCGUUCGCUUGUUGUCGUGAGGACGCCGCAGAAGCUGAUCCUGAAACAUACUGAACUUGGAGAAACUGUUCUAAGAGGAUGCAGCACUGUCGGGUGACUUAGAUUCCUUCUUGAGACUCGCACCUCCAUGCCCCCAUCCACUGGUUCAACAGUUCAGUCUGGCCAGCGGGGGACGGGGACUCUGACAGGUGGCUUUUCCCUGGCACACCCACAGGCAGAGGUCAGCAAAGGUCGUCACUUUCAAGCAAGGCUGAUCUACACAGUUCCAGGGUAAGUCUGGGAAGACAGUUCUGUGGCCUGGGGUUAUCUGACCUUUGGAAAGAACCUCCCAGGUGUGCAGACUCUCUCACGUGAGGGAGGGAAAGAGAGUAGCCCUGGGAUGAGGGGCAGACUGGGGUCCAGAGACACACAGAGCCCUGAGUGGUGACGGGGGAGUCCCAUGGAGAGAGAUUUCAGCCAGGACCCCAUGAGCUGGGGAGAGACCCAGAGAGAAACUGUGAGCUGGAGAGGCCUGGCUUCCAGCGGGGCUGCUCCUCCAGUGUAGCUGAGGAUGGCUGACCUCGCAGGUCAGCAAGUAGCUCUGAAGCCAGCUCCCAGCCCAGAGCAGGCGGCCCCUGGAGGCACAGCACUCCCCUAACCUGGCAGGUGCUCUCGUAGUGCUGGGUUCCCCCCCCCCCCCAGGGCAGGGCACCUGUCUGCCCCACACGGGCAGGGCUUGGCGCACCAGGGUGGGAGCGGGAAGUCCUCAGCCAACACUGGAGUAAUAGCAGUGCCCCUGUCAUGGGGCCCUGAGGGUGAGCUCGGUGCUGAGUGCUUCCUGAGCAUCCUUCUGUCCUCACGUGUGCGCCUGGUGAUGUCAGUGGGGAGGCCUGGAAGGUGGAACAACCGCCCAAGGUGCCACAAGCAGCCAGGUGGCCUGUGCUGGAAGCUGGGGCCUUGGAAUGAGCGGGGUUCUCGAAGGGGCCUGGAGAUGGAGAGGGUGCUCCUCGCCCCGGAACUGCACGAGGAGGAGGUGACAGGCCCAGGGGUGGACCUGGGUCCUGUGGGGCCCGAGCUCUGUUCCCCAGACCCCAGGGCGCUGACUCCUCAGCCACCCAGGGGGCUGACAACGCUCACUUGCCAAGACUGGAUCCUGAUGAUGUGCUUUUAAUUACAUCCAUUCCAAAGGUACCUCCUUUCCCAGUUAAAAUAAAGACGACACGUGAUGAA
Cervus elaphus (red deer) is the source of this 1693-nucleotide long non-coding RNA. RefSeq lists it as uncharacterized. NCBI's taxonomy places the organism in Eukaryota, Metazoa, Chordata, Mammalia, Artiodactyla, Cervidae. The transcript has 2 exons. The record is from RefSeq and is a predicted model, not a curated record.